CCAGACUCCUACGGGAGGCAGCAGUCGGGAAUAUUGCGCAAUGGAGGAAACUCUGACGCAGUGACGCCGCGUAUAGGAAGAAGGUUUUCGGAUUGUAAACUAUUGUCGUUAGGGAAGAUAAAAGACUGUACCUAAGGAGGAAGCCCCGGCUAACUAUGUGCCAGCAGCCGCGGUAAUACAUAGGGGGCAAGCGUUGUCCGGAAUCACUGGGCGUAAAGGGCGCGUAGGCGGUAAUAUAAGUCAGAUGUGAAAGGUGGGGGCUCAACCCCUAGAGUGCAACUGAUACUGUAUAACUUGAGUGUGAGAGAGGGAAGCGGAAUUCCUAGUGUAGCGGUGAAAUGCGUAGAUAUUAGGAGGAACACCAGUGGCGAAGGCGGCUUUCUGGCUCAUAACUGACGCUGAGGCGCGAAAGCGUGGGGAGCAAACAGGAUUAGAUACCCCAGUA
This 445-nucleotide ribosomal RNA is filed under the name uncultured bacterium. RNAcentral's name for it is "bacterial SSU rRNA". It matches the Rfam family "Bacterial small subunit ribosomal RNA", at positions 331 to 792 of the family's 1533-position model. The record is from RNAcentral.